Molecule: ribosomal RNA, 506 nt
Filed under: uncultured bacterium
Lineage: Bacteria
Description: partial 16S ribosomal RNA
Rfam family: Bacterial small subunit ribosomal RNA
Source: RNAcentral
AUUGAACGCUGGCGGCAGGCCUAACACAUGCAAGUCGAACGGUAACAGGAAGAAGCUUGCUUCUUUGCUGACGAGUGGCGGACGGGUGAGUAAUGUCUGGGAAACUGCCUGAUGGAGGGGGAUAACUACUGGAAACGGUAGCUAAUACCGCAUAACGUUGCAAGACCAAAGAGGGGGACCUUCGGGCCUCUUGCCAUCGGAUGUGCCCAGAUGGGAUUAGCUUGUUGGUGGGGUAACGGCUCACCAAGGCGACGAUCCCUAGCUGGUCUGAGAGGAUGACCAGCCACACUGGAACUGAGACACGGUCCAGACUCCUACGGGAGGCAGCAGUGGGGAAUAUUGCACAAUGGGCGCAAGCCUGAUGCAGCCAUGCCGCGUGUAUGAAGAAGGCCUUCGGGUUGUAAAGUACUUUCAGCGGGGAGGAAGGGAGUAAAGUUAAUACCUUUGCUCAUUGACGUUACCCGCAGAAGAAGCACCGGCUAACUCCGUGCCAGCAGCCGCGGUAA